AACUAACGCUGGCGGCGUGCCUAACACAUGCAAGUCGUACGAGAAAGUUGGCUUCGGCUGAUGAGUAAAGUGGCGCACGGGUGAGUAAUGCGUGGAUAAUCUACCCUUUAAUUCGGAAUAACGUACCGAAAGGUGCGCUAAUACCGGAUAAUACUGAGUGACUACUGUUGCUUAGUCAAAGAAGGCCUCUGUUUACAAGCUUUUGUUAAAGGAUGAGUCCGCGUACCAUUAGCUAGUUGGUGGGGUAAUGGCCUACCAAGGCUACGAUGGUUAGCUGGUCUGAGAGGAUGAUCAGCCACACUGGAACUGAGACACGGUCCAGACUCCUACGGGUGGCAG
This 339-nucleotide ribosomal RNA is filed under the name uncultured Pseudomonadota bacterium. RNAcentral's name for it is "bacterial SSU rRNA". It matches the Rfam family "Bacterial small subunit ribosomal RNA", at positions 29 to 351 of the family's 1533-position model. The record is from RNAcentral. Lineage: Bacteria; Pseudomonadati; Pseudomonadota.